Alosa sapidissima (American shad) is the source of this 497-nucleotide long non-coding RNA. RefSeq lists it as uncharacterized. Lineage: Eukaryota; Metazoa; Chordata; Actinopteri; Clupeiformes; Clupeidae. The transcript has 3 exons. The record is from RefSeq and is a predicted model, not a curated record.
UUGCUGCUAAACUACUGGCUGGAUAUUGUCACGGCUGCUCUUUUCCCCGGUGUGCUCAUCAAUUCCAGCUUAGCAACAUCACAGAGUGUUGCGCUGUCCGGGCUCCCUACAUCUGACGUUAGCUGUUGCAUGGAUCUGUAUGGUAUCCUGAUGUGGUGACGGCCUUGCUGUUUUGUUCCUGUUUGGGGUUUGCUGUGUGGAGCGCCUUCCGCUUCUCUCUGUGGACUUCCAUCGCUGCGUCUCUGAUGCAUGAUUGCUAGCUAACCUGGUGGUGGCUAUCUGCUUGGGCCAGUUUAGUGCGGACGUGCGUGUUUGUUGCAUGAGUGUGCAUGUGUGGGAGUUUGGUUUGCUUGCUGCUCUAUUGAUGCUCUGUGCUUUUCUCUGUAUUUUGUUUUGUCUUAUUUGUACUCAUUUGUUUUUGUUUGUUUUUCUACUGCAUGUACUGUCAAGUGGGCUUUCCCUGUGUAUGUUGCUUGUCUCUCCUGCUGGGGGCUACA